RNAcentral lists this ribosomal RNA (252 nucleotides) under uncultured bacterium. RNAcentral's name for it is "partial 16S ribosomal RNA". It matches the Rfam family "Bacterial small subunit ribosomal RNA", at positions 524 to 776 of the family's 1533-position model. The record is from RNAcentral.
UACGUAGGUCCCGAGCGUUGUCCGGAUUUAUUGGGCGUAAAGCGAGCGCAGGUGGUUUAUUAAGUCUGGUGUAAAAGGCAGUGGCUCAACCAUUGUAUGCAUUGGAAACUGGUAGACUUGAGUGCAGGAGAGGUAAGUGGAAUUCCUAGUGUAGCGGUGAAAUGCGUAGAUAUUAGGAGGAACACCAGUGGCGAAGGCGGCUUACUGGACUGUAACUGACGUUGAGGCUCGAAAGCGUGGGGAGCAAACAGG